UUGAAAGUUGAGCCACCCGGGCUGCAUCAUGCUCAGGCUGUGGUUCCAGACCACCACUCGGGAAAGGUCACAUGGGUGAACCCUCACUGAAAGCAGCGAGGGUGACCCUGUAGCCAUCAGUUCCCUGGAGUCUUCCGGGUCCAACCCCAAGGCAAGGUCAGCUCCGGGCUCCAGCAGAGCCCGGCGGAGGACUCAGCAGCCACCACUAUGCAUGCAAGGUUCUUCACGUUCCAACUCUGGCGCCCUGACAGGUUCUUCAGGCCAUGCCUAUCCCCAGGCAGGGAAGGCUAGGAAGGUGCAGGCCACCCUACGUGCUGGCUCAUAGAUGACCAGAAACAGCCAGGUUAAAUGAUUUGUUCAGGACAUUACAAUGUGUGCCACCUGUGGCUUCACUCUUUAAGACACGGGAUUUUGUUGGACUAUAGAAGAAAAUCCCAGGACUUACAUGGUCAGCAGAAUGGGCCUGGGAGGAAGCUCGUUUUGCAAAGUGCUGGCAGUGCAAGCAUGAGGACGCAUGUUUUGUACCUGAAGACAUAUUGCAAAAAAUCAGGAUCAAUCUGUAACCCCCAGCAUGGCAGAAUUAUUUGUGUUUCCUUAAACAUUUUCUCCAAAGUAUCUGCAUCAGAAUCAGUCAACAAAAUAUCAUCUAUGUAAUGGCAGGAGACCAGACCUACAGACUGUGCAUGAUAACAAGCUUGGAAGUGCUGAAGAUACAAGAACACAAUCCUCGCGCUUACUGGGAUGACAGACAAGCAGAUGAUUCUAUUAUAGCAAAAUAGCGAUAGACAAAGUUCAAAAGAUUUUCCGAGGAAAUAUGGGAAGGUAACCCAGAACUGGAAGGAAGAGGUAGGGAAUCCUGGAGGCAAUGCUGCCUUCGUUGUGGGUAGUGCUGGGGGAAAGGCAUGCUCCCUGGCUGGGGAAGGCAGCCCUCCAUGUGCUCAGGAAAAUGGAGGAACUCUAUUGAUGAAGCUGGCCGUGCUGACUUGCAGUGAAACAGAUCUGUAGUAUCAGCUGACACAAAUCAUCUCUAAUAAAAGUAAUUUCUAGCAAUAAAAACCUGGCAAUGUACUCUCCUGGCAGCUCUGAUCAAAGGUCCUUGCUAUCUGUGACUGCAAAUGCUGGCACCCAGACACUCACUGACGCAGAGGACGCA
This is a long non-coding RNA of Meriones unguiculatus (Mongolian gerbil), 1153 nucleotides long. RefSeq lists it as uncharacterized. The record is from RefSeq and is a predicted model, not a curated record. The transcript is spliced from 6 exons. NCBI's taxonomy places the organism in Eukaryota, Metazoa, Chordata, Mammalia, Rodentia, Muridae.